GAUGAGCUCAGCCUAAUCUCUGUCACAUUUAUUUGUCGCGAAUUGUAGUCUAUAGAGGCGUGAUCAGUGUAGGCGCUGAGGUAAGUUCCCUGAAAAAGGACAGCAUGAGGGUGAAACUCCCGUCAUACUUAAGUGCUUGCACGUACCGAUUCUUUUCUUUGAGUCGCGUUGUUUGAGAAUGCAGCGCAAAGUAGGUGGUAAAUUCCAUCUAAAGCUAAAUAUUGGUGCGAGACCGAUAGCGAACAAGUACCGUGGAGGGAAAGAUGAAAAGAACUCUGGAAAAGAGAGUUAAAGAGUACCUGAAACUGCUGAAAGGGAACCAAAUCGUUUCUAGUGUCUAUAAUCUAUGACAUAUUUCAUUGGGAAGUGUGUGCGUGUGUAUACUAUGGCAGCGGCUUUUUUUAGUUGCGCUUGGUGUGCGUGCUGUAUGUACUAACUGAUGCCCUGUGUUAUAGUGGGACGUCAAGGUCAGUUUGUAUACUGCGGGAAAUGGCUACUGAGGAGGUAGGGCUUACGCUUGCGUUUGUCUGUUAUAUCUUGGUAGUUGUGUCGUGGUUGAGACUGAGGUGUUCUACAACGUGCUUAUGAGUGGGUCUACGUCUCCGUGUGCGCCGUGUGCAGAUAGCUUGCUAUGUGUAUGUGGUGGUGUGUGGAUUGAUAUGGGCUUUAUCUUACU
RNAcentral lists this ribosomal RNA (676 nucleotides) under Hyaloperonospora dentariae. Its description in RNAcentral is "LSU rRNA". It matches the Rfam family "Eukaryotic large subunit ribosomal RNA", at positions 102 to 616 of the family's 3401-position model. Lineage: Eukaryota; Oomycota; Peronosporomycetes; Peronosporales; Peronosporaceae. The record is from RNAcentral.